RNAcentral lists this ribosomal RNA (453 nucleotides) under uncultured organism. RNAcentral describes it as "partial 16S ribosomal RNA". It matches the Rfam family "Bacterial small subunit ribosomal RNA", at positions 332 to 801 of the family's 1533-position model. The record is from RNAcentral.
UACACUCCUACGGGAGGCAGCAGUGGGGAAUAUUGGACAAUGGGCGCAAGCCUGAUCCAGCCAUGCCGCGUGAGUGAUGAAGGCCCUAGGGUUGUAAAGCUCUUUCACCGGUGAAGAUAAUGACGGUAACCGGAGAAGAAGCCCCGGCUAACUUCGUGCCAGCAGCCGCGGUAAUACGAAGGGGGCUAGCGUUGUUCGGAUUUACUGGGCGUAAAGCGCACGUAGGCGGACUAUUAAGUCAGGGGUGAAAUCCCGGGGCUCAACCCCGGAACUGCCUUUGAUACUGGUAGUCUUGAGUUCGAGAGAGGUGAGUGGAAUUCCGAGUGUAGAGGUGAAAUUCGUAGAUAUUCGGAGGAACACCAGUGGCGAAGGCGGCUCACUGGCUCGAUACUGACGCUGAGGUGCGAAAGCGUGGGGAGCAAACAGGAUUAGAUACCCGAGUAGUCCCAUGAU